Molecule: long non-coding RNA, 817 nt
Organism: Clupea harengus (Atlantic herring)
Lineage: Eukaryota; Metazoa; Chordata; Actinopteri; Clupeiformes; Clupeidae
Source: Ensembl
GGGGCUUGGGAGACUGUGAGGGACAAACAGUCCUUUUGGAACUGGGACCCUGAGGAAAAAAUGUGUGGCACCUCUUAGGAUGUAAUUGAGGUUGGAGCUGCGAUGUCUCCUGAAAAUGACUGCGUUGCGUUGAAGCCAUAGCUAGGAAGAAUUCAACUUCAUCAAGGUGUCCUUACAGAGGCCAGGGGAGUUGGGUAACACUUCUGACACACCCGACAAACGAGAGAAAACGUACCCCAAAGGCCGUUGCACACCAUUUCACAGCGCUCUGAGGAAACCUGGAGCAAAACAGUGCCUCAGAUGAUCCACCCAGUUACCUGUCUUCCACUCUCUGGGUGUGACCAGUGUGGAAUCGCUAUAUAUAUCCAUCAGCUACGGACCUGCUGCAGCAGACGAAGGCAAACCUCCUGGAUUGGUGUUACGUACUUGUUUACCCGUCUUUACCAAGAUCAACAUGAGUGAAGAAGAACUGAAGCCUGAGGUGGCUGUAGAGGAAGAGGAAUCUGGAUCUGAAUCAGGGGAGUCUGAUGGAGAACCCAAUGGAAAGAGGAAGGGGAAAAAUAAGGGGAAGAAAGGAGGGAAGGGUAAAGGAGGAGAGCACGGGCAUGGCCAUGGUCCUGGAGAAGAGCAUGGCAGAGGAAGAGGGGACGGAGGAAGAGGAGGUGGUGGCGGUGGAAGAGGAGGUGGCGGUGGAAGAGGAGGUCGUGGAGGACAUGACUAAAGUCCUGUUUGUCACCUGCACUUUCACUGCUGUAAGAACCAGCUCCAGGCUGUUAAUGAAUGCUUGAUGUGUCAAUAAUUAAUAAAAGUUUAUUAC